RNAcentral lists this long non-coding RNA (1026 nucleotides) under Salmo salar (Atlantic salmon). RNAcentral describes it as "lncRNA (ENSSSAG00000102835.1)". Lineage: Eukaryota; Metazoa; Chordata; Actinopteri; Salmoniformes; Salmonidae. The record is from RNAcentral.
GUAUCCUCUAGGUAUCCUCUAGGUGUCCUCUAGGUAUCCUCUAGCUGUCCUCUAGGUGUCCUCUAGGUAUCCUCUAGGUGUCCUCUAGGUAUCCUCUAGGUAUCCUCUAGGUGUCCUCUACUCUAGGUGUUCUCUAGGUAUCCUUUAGCUGUCCUCUAGGUAUGCUCUAGGUAUCCUCUAGGUAUCCUCUAGGUAUCCUCUAGGUGUCCUCUACUCUAGGUGUUCUCUAGGUAUCCUUUAGCUGUCCUCUAGGUAUGCUCUAGCUGUCCUCUAGGUAUCCUCUAGGUAUCCUCUAGGUAUCCUCUAGCUGUCCUCUAGGUAUCCUCUAGGUAUCCUCUAGGUGUCCUCUACUCUAGGUGUUCUCUAGGUAUCCUUUAGCUGUCCUCUAGGUAUGCUCUAGCUGUCCUCUAGGUAUCCUCUAGGUAUCCUCUAGGUAUCCUCUAGCUGUCCUCUAGGUAUCCUCUAGGUAUCCUCUAGCUGUCCUCUAGCUGUCCUCUAGGUAUCCUCUAGCUGUUCUCUAGCUAUCCUCUACUCUAGGUGUUCUCUAGGUAUCCUUUAGGUGUCCUCUAGGUAUCCUCUAGCUGUUCUCUAGCUAUCCUCUACUCUAGGUGUUCUCUAGGUAUCCUCUAGCUGUUCUCUAGCUAUCCUCUACUCUAGCUGUCCUCUAGGUAUCCUCUAGCUGUGCUCUAGGUAUCCUCUAGCUGUGCUCUAGGUGUCCUCUAGCUAUCCUCUAGGUACUUUCCCCAGUCCAGCUCUCUUUCAUCAGUGCAGAUUAAGGAAAGGAGUUGAAUCAGAAGAAGAGACAAAACGGGUGUGUCUCAAAUGUAACCCUUUUCACUUCAUAGUGCCCUACUUUUGACCCCGAACUUUAACCUUGUUCAAAAGUUGUGCACUAUGAAUAAGGUCCCAUUUGGAACGCAGACAAUACUGUAUGUCUAGGCUAUUGACACGCACCUAGAGGGGGAUUGACAUAUAGAUAAUUGAAGAGGUUCAUCCACAGGAGGAUAAAACAGAGUGGUACAGGAG